RNAcentral lists this unclassified non-coding RNA (344 nucleotides) under soil metagenome. Its description in RNAcentral is "partial contains 5.8S ribosomal RNA, internal transcribed spacer 2, and large subunit ribosomal RNA". The stretch from base 1 to 120 matches the Rfam family "5.8S ribosomal RNA", at positions 35 to 154 of the family's 154-position model. The record is from RNAcentral.
GAUGAAGAACGUAGCGAAAUGCGAUAAGUAAUGUGAAUUGCAGAAUUCAGUGAAUCAUCGAAUCUUUGAACGCACAUUGCGCCCGCCAGUAUUCUGGCGGGCAUGCCUGUUCGAGCGUCAUUUCAACCCUCAAGCCCCCGGGCUUGGUGUUGGGGAUCGGCGUGCCCUCGCGGCGCGCCGUCCCCUAAAUCUAGUGGCGGUCUCGCUGUAGCUUCCUCUGCGUAGUAGCAACACUCGCACUGGAUCGCAGCGCGGCCACGCCGUUAAACCCCCCACUUCUGAAAGUUUCACCUCGGAUCAGGUAGGAAUACCCGCUGAACUUAAGCAUAUCAAUAAGCGGAGGA